This 651-nucleotide unclassified non-coding RNA is filed under the name Pollicipes pollicipes. RNAcentral describes it as "protein BFR2-like, transcript variant X3". The record is from RNAcentral. Lineage: Eukaryota; Metazoa; Arthropoda; Thecostraca; Pollicipedomorpha; Pollicipedidae.
AGGCACCAAUCACACCGUGUGAAGUUAUUCAGCAUGCCACUAGCAAAGAUGGCAUGUUUAUACUGGUGAAGUUUAGUGGCUUCAGAUCAUGAUAAUUAUGCUUCUGGCCUCAUUCCUGAUGACGAUGAAGAUGAAGAUCGUACGUACCUCCCCGACCCACGGCCAGCAGCGGACACGGACGAGGACGAGGACCAGGACAUGGACGAGGACAUGGACGAGGACGAGGACAAGGGCAAGUCCAAGGAUAUGGACGAGAACCAGGAUAUGGAGGAAGUCAAAGACGAGAACGAGGACGAGGACCAGGAUGAGGCCCAGGUAGUGGCCAAGAACAGCAGUAGGGCUUCCGGCGAACACAGUGUCUCUGUUGAAAAAUCUCCUAAAGCAAGAAAGCCAUCCCUAAAGCGGAACGUUUGCCCCUAUUGUGAUACCCUGCACACAAAAUUUGCACGCCAUCUUUUCCGGAAGCAUAAACGAGAACCCGACGUACCUGACGCGCUCGCCUUUCCAAAAGGAUCAAGGGAGAGGAGAAUCACUCUGGAAGGUAUCAUUCAUAAAGGCAACUUCAAACAUAACUGCUGUUUUCCGAGAUGGGCGAGGAACGAUCGUCCCCAGGAGGCGUCCACCCCAAGAUAUGAAUGUCAACGUGAAAGA